AAGCUUGAAAAGUGGAUUCUUAUAAAGAAAUUAACAAUUUAUGGGAAAAAUUUGGCGAAAUAUUUUGGACGGAAAACGACCAUAGUAGUUUUGAAUUUAAGGGACAGCAAAAAACGUACAAUUUUCUUUCAAAAAGCUAAAAACAUGCCUGUCUCAUUAAGUUUUGAAGUGGGGAGGGGUUGAUGGAUACAAAGGUUACUUCCAAAUGGAUACAAAGGUUCCUGUUUUUUUCCCUAUUUCACAAAGAAUUCCAACUUUGACAUACUUGAAACCGACCAGAUAAUUUGUUUUGAUACAACGUGCACGAUAUAGGCAUCCAUAAAGGCCAUUGCAUUAAUUUUGUACUUACAACAAAUAAGCAUAUAUAUAGCAUUUUGACUGAUAGAAAAGAAAUGUAGGCCGCGUUGUCGGAGAUAUUUUAAAUCAUUUCGAAAUAUCAAUCCUUCAAAACAGCACCACGCAGUGCAAAAUCUAAGGCUAAACAAGAUUUCUUGAUAAUUUCAAAUCAACCCAAAUGAAAUAAGUAAGCAAAAGUGUCCCUGUUGAUCAUCUGAAAGAUACAAAAGCUUAGUAUAAAGGUAUCAUAGGUUCAUUCUGUGCUGAGAUAUAUAAUAAAAAGUUGAAUGACUAGCUGUAUGAGGCGAUUUCACGGUAGGUACGUUUCAUUGUGAUUUUAGAGUCUAGCACCGUGUGCACUUUAAACAGUGGCAGGGUUGUUUUUGCAAAAACAUUGCUUUUGAUUUUCCAUAGUCAUAGAAAUAACGACGAGAAGACACAUUGAGAAUUUCAUAUUUGUCCCGGAGGCAAAAUAUAAUGAUUGUUAGGCGAAAAUACAUUUGGAUUAUAUUCAAUAAACACUGGCUUAAGAAAACCUAUAACCUUGAGCCACAAGCCAGUUAUGAAGCGAGACGAAAUCUACAAUUUAUUGAAACCUUUCCAGUGUCAAUUUAAAAGUGGUUACGCAAUUGAAAUCAGCCAUGGGAAAAUCAGCUGAUUUGCACCGAGGUUCAAAACAACAACGCAAUCGUCAGAAGCCCAGACUGACAACAACAAAGGAGAUUAUCGAAUGACGAACAGGUUUUCAGGGUUUAAGGGUGGGGUCACAUAAAACCAGACAGACAGCUUUUCUGGAAAGGCUUUUGCUUUGGAUUUAAUUUAGUUGCUAAAAAGAAUGGUUGAUAAGAAUAAAGUUUAUCAGCAGCAGUUUCACCAGGGCUGUCGCAACAACAGUUCUUGAAGGGGCUCAUGCCUCAAAUUAGUAUAAAUUUCCUUUUCAGCCAAUAAAAUCACUUGGCGUUUUUAUGAAAUUUAUAUCUUAGUUGCAAAAGAAAGGGAUUGAUUUUGGGGCAGGGAAUUAGCGAAAGAAUUAUCAUUUGUCCGUGUCGUACUUCUGCCUGAGGGGAAAUUCACUCUUGCAAAUAGCGCACGAGAUUUUCCCUGAAACAAAAGGAUUUCUCGGUAUUUUCAGAUAAAACAAUAGGAUUUAUCGCUAUUUUCUGAUAAAACAAUAGGAUUUUCACGAAAGGUAUACGAGAUUUUCUUAGAGUGAUUUGCCCCUCACUUCUGGCAUCUCAAUAUCAUAAAUGUAUGGAUCAUUGGCUUCAGAAUUUCUUGAAACUCUGAAAAUUCUGAAACGGGGGUUUGAUGUUCAACUAGCAAUACCCAAGGCGCUUUCAGCUUUCAUUACAUGUCUAUGUCAUCAAUUUCUGACAAAUGCAUAAAUAUUAAAUGAGAGAGCAAAUAAAAUAAGUUAAACAAUAGGAAGAAAUGAAAUGAGGAAUACGACACAUAGGCAAGCUAGUAAUACGAGUGCUGGCAGGUUCUUGGCGAGACAACAGAAAUAUUUGAAAAUGUUUACCACUACAAAACAGAACCUUAUUCUGACGUUUUCUGCUGUGAGGAGUGUCAGACGAAAAAGCUUUUAGUUAAGGGUGCGUCUAAUAUGCAUGAAGACCAACAGAACAAACAGCAAUAUUCCCAAGUCAGAAAAUGUAAAUGCAAAUUAUCAAAUUGCAAAAAGAAAUUCGUCAAG
Rhopilema esculentum is the source of this 2032-nucleotide non-coding RNA. The record is from RefSeq and is a predicted model, not a curated record. Lineage: Eukaryota; Metazoa; Cnidaria; Scyphozoa; Rhizostomeae; Rhizostomatidae.